Bombyx mori (domestic silkworm) is the source of this 1611-nucleotide long non-coding RNA. RefSeq lists it as uncharacterized. The record is from RefSeq and is a predicted model, not a curated record. NCBI's taxonomy places the organism in Eukaryota, Metazoa, Arthropoda, Insecta, Lepidoptera, Bombycidae. The transcript is spliced from 2 exons.
AGUUGAAGUUGUGGUUGCGGGAACAGGUUACCUACGCUUGGUUAAAUUACAUAAAUAUUAAGACUAAGUGUAUUAACUAAUUAUAUUAUUUCAGUUAGGUAUAUGGGAUUGUGGAACGGGUAGAGUAAAAUCACGGGAUGAUGGUAAAACAAGCUAAAAUUGUGAAUACCGUGAUGAAACGGUAACGUUGUUGAAGCGGCUAACAGUGAAACAGUGCUAACACUGUUUUAAUGCAUAUUCCUUUAAAAAUAAAGAACCUACAACUCUUGCAUAAAAUAUAUCACAUUGUUUUUGCGCGGCACAUUAUGGGAGGUCAGGCCGCGUCCGCGGGGGGCAUUUGUUGGCCACUCCGACGUCUACUACCAGAACAGUAACAUCUGAAACACAAUCACUGAUAACGAGCCCUUGAUUAGACAAACGGGCUUAUGAAAAUAUUUAGAAAUCGAACAAAUUCAUAAUACUGUAAUUGAUUUAUUUAAGAAUUGCAAAAUUGCCUAUGAAAAUUGAAUGAUCGCUUCGUGGGUCUAGAGUAGUAGUUAGCGCUCCUCAAAACUGCAUGACGAGAUCAAGAUUCGGUUUGCAAAUACAGAAUCUAACAUCUGUUUAUCUUGGGCUGUAGGGGCUGGGCAAACUGUUACCUGACGCUUUGACCCAAAGGAUCUGUUGUGUCAUUCUGCUGUUGUGUACUCUUGAUUUCCAAACAGCACCCGCAGUAGCACUGCAAGUGUCGGAGACUAUAAACAUAUUGGUAACCACUGUUCAAUGUUCAUUCUUUUUUUUUAUUGCUUAGACAGGUGAAUGAGUGAAUAAACAUAUUGGCAUUCAUCUUGAGACGUGAGUUUCAAGUAUCAGUUAUAUAGUACCAUGGUCGCCUCAUCCUUUAAACUGGAACAUAUUACUACUUCAUGGCAGAAAUAGACAAGGAGAGCAGAUCUCUGUCCACCAAGUGUAGAUAGUUAGGUAGGAGGUAACUACAAAGAGGAUACUGAUGCUGUAGCUGCAGCUGCAGGAACGCUCACCACAGCCCUAAUUAAUAGGAUCGACCAGAGCAUUAUCAUUUGUUUUUAUUGCAGUACACAUCAAAUGGCACAGAGCAUUGUUAACACAACUUUAUUAAUUCUAAGUAAUUCUGUAUUUUUUACUCAAUGUGAUCAGAAGAUCACAACGAUUAUUUGUCACCAAAACAAAAAAACAUGUUUUAAUAAAAAAAUGGAAUUGCAUUUAAUUUACCUUAGGGGUGUGUGUCUCCCACAGCGCAGGUACAAACUCAUCCACGUUUUCAUAAGUUACUGGUAUUUCAAUCAAAACAAGCUCGCACCUGUGUUUAUUUUCUAUUUCUUGUUUAUCUAAAAGUUUCACGGCUUCCCAACUUGCGUUCACUGGAUGAUUAGCAAACGGGCCGAAACCAGUUACCAUUAUUAUGGGUUUAAAUAAAAAAUCUAAGUCAUUAGACAUUUUUUAAAUUUAUUUGCAGAUUUGAGAAUUGAGUGAGCUCAAUCUUGUUUGUGUUAUAAUCAAAGAAUAGAAUAAGUAGUGCUUAUAAUUUAAUCUUAGCCUUAAACUUAAUUUUCAUUACUAGUAGGUUGAAUUUGCUACAUUUCAAAACACUAA